GGCGAUCUCCUGACGUCAUAGGCGCGCCGGAGCGUUUGCACAGCGGAGCCGGGGGCGGAAGUGCUCUCCGCGGAAGUGAUAAUUGCGCGAGUCGUGGGUGGGAUGACCGCGGGUCAGCUCCUUCGAAGGCUGUUGCGAACACCUUCCAGUUCCAUGGCUCAGAGCCGAAUCGGUGGCGUGUCCCCCUCCAGGGGCAUGCACGCGAAGCGCGGGCCUCGAAAGCUCUCCAUCGAAGGAAAUAUUGCUGUGGGAAAGUCCACCUUUGUGAAGUUACUCACGGAAACUUACCCAGAGUGGCACAUAGCUACAGAACCUGUAGCAACAUGGCAGAAUGUCCAGGCCGCUGGCACCCAAAAAGCCUACACUGCUCCAAAUCUUGGAAACUUGCUGGAUAUGAUGUACCAGGAACCAGCACGAUGGUCCUACACAUUCCAGACAUGUUCUUUUAUGAGCCGCCUAAAAGUACAGCUGGAGCCCUUUCCCGAGAAACAAUUACAGUCCAAGAAGGCGGUACAGAUCUUUGAGAGGUCCGUGUACAGUGACAGGUUUGCUGGAAGAGACUACACCACAGGGCCAGGGAAGAGGAGAAAGGAAUUGAGCUGGCAUAUCUCGAGCAGCUUCACAGUCAACACGAAGCCUGGCUUGUUCACAAGACAACCAGGUAAGCAGAGAAGAGGGCAGCACCACACAGACACCUGCCUCCCUACAAGCCAGUUGCCCAAACAUGAGUUCAGCACGCAGCCCCAUAAGAAGGUUGAGAAUGUACCGAGUGGUUGGAAAUGCCAAGCAUUAUCCAACUCAGAAACUUAAAUGUUAGAUGUAAUCUAUAUGCUAAGAGACUUUUUAUUAGAUUCUGUUUCUCACCUUUUUUGUUUUUUAACAUUACCCUAGAUUGAACAUUGUGAUUGAGGAUAGUGAUAUAGUUAGCUCAGGGUGAAGGUCUGAAAAUUUCUGGAGAAAUUGUCCUUCUUACUAAGUUGACAGUCCUAGUUUUGGCCUUUCCUUCCUUCGGGCUCGGCAUGCUGUCCACUGGAAACGUGUAGGGCUCUGACCUUCCGUAUCCAUUUCAAGACUAAAGAGAAAUUUCAGCCUUCCUCUUUCUGGCCAACUUUAUUAAACUCGUUUUCAAAUUGCUAUUUACAUGCCAUUUCAUUGAGAAGCCAUGUGACUUUAGAUCUCUUCUAUGGAUUACUAAGACUUGGUGAGUAUGUGAAGGUUGGCUCAGCUUUCUUUUUUCUGUCCCCUAAAACGUUCAUGCUUCUUACAAGGCUCCACUUUGAGGCUCUGCUGAACAUUCCAGUGCUGGUAUUGGAUGUCAAUGAUGAUUUUUCUGAAGAAGAAACCAAACAAGAAGAACUCUUGAAAAAGGUAAACACCUUUGUAAAUAAUCUGUAACCAGUCCCGGGAUGUUCUGGCUCUCUGAGUUUCUAAAGCUGGAAAAAUCCCAAGUCAUGCACCUUUCCAUCGCCUUUUGCCCCUAGAGUGCUCUGACACUCAGGUGCAUGGUUUGGGUUAGCCUUCGACUUUGCAGUUACUGUCUUUUAUGUCUCAGAGGCUUCUAAAAUAAAGUGGAAGUUUUGCUUAUUCUGUUAA
This is an RNA transcript of Prionailurus viverrinus (fishing cat), 1593 nucleotides long. It is a transcript of the gene named deoxyguanosine kinase, with no coding region annotated. The transcript has 5 exons. The record is from RefSeq and is a predicted model, not a curated record. NCBI's taxonomy places the organism in Eukaryota, Metazoa, Chordata, Mammalia, Carnivora, Felidae.